UACGUAGGGUGCGAGCGUUGUCCGGAAUUAUUGGGCGUAAAGGGCUCGUAGGCGGUUUGUCGCGUCGGGAGUGAAAACACUGGGCUUAACUCAGUGCUUGCUUCCGAUACGGGCAGACUAGAGGUAUGCAGGGGAGAACGGAAUUCCUGGUGUAGCGGUGAAAUGCGCAGCUAUCAGGAGGAACACCGGUGGCGAAGGCGGUUCUCUGGGCAUUACCUGACGCUGAGGAGCGAAAGUGUGGGGAGCGAACAGG
Molecule: ribosomal RNA, 253 nt
Filed under: uncultured bacterium
Lineage: Bacteria
Description: partial 16S ribosomal RNA
Rfam family: Bacterial small subunit ribosomal RNA
Source: RNAcentral